RNAcentral lists this ribosomal RNA (461 nucleotides) under uncultured bacterium. Its description in RNAcentral is "bacterial SSU rRNA". It matches the Rfam family "Bacterial small subunit ribosomal RNA", at positions 29 to 506 of the family's 1533-position model. The record is from RNAcentral.
ACGAACGCUGGCGGCGUGCUUAACACAUGCAAGUCGAACGGUGACACGAGAGCUUGCUCUCGUUGAUCAGUGGCGAACGGGUGAGUAACACGUGAGCAACCUACCCUUGACUCCGGGAUAACAGUUGGAAACAGCUGCUAAUACCAGAUAUGAACUCAGCAGGCAUCUGCCGUGUUGGAAAGCUCCGACGGUCAAGGAUGGGCUCGCGGCCUAUCAGCUUGUUGGUGAGGUAACGGCUCACCAAGGCGACGACGGGUCGCCGGCCUGAGAGGGCGACCGGCCACACUGGGACUGAGAUACGGCCCAGACUCCUACGGGAGGCAGCAGUGGGGAAUAUUGCGCAAUGGGCGAAAGCCUGACGCAGCAACGCCGCGUGCGGGAUGACGGCCUUCGGGUUGUAAACCGCUUUCAGCAGGGACGAAACUGACGGUACCUGCAGAAGGAGCACCGGCUAACUACGU